Molecule: non-coding RNA, 614 nt
Organism: Hyla sarda
Lineage: Eukaryota; Metazoa; Chordata; Amphibia; Anura; Hylidae
Source: the annotation of a RefSeq genome assembly
CCAGAGACAUAAAGAUGGCUUCUCAGGGGCUUCUGCUGUGUGUCUUACUGAUCUCUAUUCAUGGAUCCUGUGGAUGGAUUGUACUGACCCAAUCUCCAGAUUAUAUCUCUGUGUCCCCAGGAGAUACAGCCACCGUCACAUGUACAUCCAGUAUAGGUACAUCGAGCAAAUACAUACACUGGUACCAACAGAAAUCAGGACAACAACCAAAUCUUCUUAUAUAUGAAGACAGCAAAAGAUAUACAGGAGUCCCAGACCGGUUCACUGGAUCUGUAUCGAAAACGUCUGGAAUUCUUACAAUCAGAGGAGUGACAGAAGAUGAUAUAGCAGAUUAUUACUGUCAGCAGAGUGAUAGCAGCGGUGAAGUGAAGCAUCUUGGGAGGAAGAACUCCAUUACAGACUGUGCUAAGAAGAGAGAGACUACAUACUCCAUUGCCCCAUGUGGCAGCAUCGCUGGUAAGCUUAUGGACUUGCCCUACAGUAUUUCUCAGCCACAGCUUCUUCCAGCUACACAGACUCUUAUGUUCCAGAGCAGCAGCUGCACUUUUCACCGCGUGCUUAUUACCUAUGACUCAAUAAAUCUACAGACUUCACCAUACAGUCUUGGCUAUUGA